RNAcentral lists this ribosomal RNA (168 nucleotides) under uncultured Bacteroidota bacterium. RNAcentral describes it as "uncultured Bacteroidetes bacterium partial 16S ribosomal RNA". It matches the Rfam family "Bacterial small subunit ribosomal RNA", at positions 359 to 526 of the family's 1533-position model. Lineage: Bacteria; Pseudomonadati; Bacteroidota. The record is from RNAcentral.
AAUUGCACAAUGGAGGAAACUCUGNUGCAGCCAUGCCGCGUGCAGGAUGAAUGCCCUAUGGGUUGUAAACUGCUUUUAUACAAGANGANACAUCGGUACGUGUACCGACUUGACGGUAUUGUAUGAAUAAGCACCGGCUAACUCCGUGCCAGCAGCCGCGGGUAAUAU